This 253-nucleotide ribosomal RNA is filed under the name uncultured bacterium. Its description in RNAcentral is "partial 16S ribosomal RNA". It matches the Rfam family "Bacterial small subunit ribosomal RNA", at positions 524 to 776 of the family's 1533-position model. The record is from RNAcentral.
UACGUAGGGGGCAAGCGUUGUCCGGAAUCAUGGGGCGUAAAGAGCGUGUAGGCGGCCCGGUAAGUCCGCUGUGAAAGUCCAGGGCUCAACCCUGGGAUGCCGGUGGAUACUGUCGGGCUCGAGUCCGGAAGAGGAGUGUGGAAUUCCUGGUGUAGCGGUGAAAUGCGCAGAUAUCAGGAGGAACACCAAUGGCGAAGGCAGCACUCUGGGACGUGACUGACGCUGAGACGCGAAAGCGUGGGGAGCAAACAGG